AAAGACUGAAGUACCUUGCUAGUUUACAAGAAAUGAUUGAUCAUUGAAGGAAAUGGGUGUGUCACGUAGACAGGCUGACCAGUCUGGUCCUUUCAUUCCACGUGACAUUCUGCACAUCAUUUAACAGAAAACAGUUGUUGAGAUGCAGUAUAAAACGCCCAGCUUUAGGAAGGUACUCACUCUGUUAUUGAAAUAUUUUACAAUGAAGAUGAGAACAAGUCACAACAAGACCAGACCUCAGCUGUGACCCUGGAACGCCACCUUCUUGUCUAGAGUGGUUCAGCUGAAAGAGAUGGGGCAAUGCUGGUCGUGGUGCUGCCGAAAGGUUGUCACAAAAGCAGAGAGGAAUGGAGAGAAAAGUCAGAGUUUGUCUACAAUCAACACAAAGGAAGAAGAGCUUGAAG
Seriola aureovittata is the source of this 404-nucleotide long non-coding RNA. RefSeq lists it as uncharacterized. The record is from RefSeq and is a predicted model, not a curated record. The transcript has 3 exons. Lineage: Eukaryota; Metazoa; Chordata; Actinopteri; Carangiformes; Carangidae.